Molecule: ribosomal RNA, 466 nt
Filed under: uncultured bacterium
Lineage: Bacteria
Description: partial 16S ribosomal RNA
Rfam family: Bacterial small subunit ribosomal RNA
Source: RNAcentral
GAUGAACGCUGGCGGCGUGCUUAACACAUGCAAGUCGAACGAUGAAGCCCAGCUUGCUGGGUGGAUUAGUGGCGAACGGGUGAGUAACACGUGAGUAACCUGCCCUUAACUCUGGGAUAAGCCUGGGAAACUGGGUCUAAUACCGGAUAGGAGCGCCUACCGCAUGGUGGGUGUUGGAAAGAUUUAUCGGUUUUGGAUGGACUCGCGGCCUAUCAGCUUGUUGGUGAGGUAAUGGCUCACCAAGGCGACGACGGGUAGCCGGCCUGAGAGGGUGACCGGCCACACUGGGACUGAGACACGGCCCAGACUCCUACGGGAGGCAGCAGUGGGGAAUAUUGCACAAUGGGCGAAAACCUGAUGCAGCGACGCCGCGUGAGGGAUGACGGCCUUCGGGUUGUAAACCUCUUUCAGUAGGGAAGAAGCGAAAGUGACGGUACCUGCAGAAGAAGCACCGGCUAACUACGUG